UGGCGGACGGGUGAGUAACGCGUGGAUAACCUGCCUCACACUGGGGGAUAACAGUUAGAAAUGGCCGCUAAUACCGCAUAAGCGCACAGUACCGCAUGGUACGGUGUGAAAAACCCAGGUGGUGUGAGAUGGAUCCGCGUCUGAUUAGCCAGUUGGCGGGGUAACGGCCCACCAAAACGACGAUCAGUAGCCGACCUGAGAGGGUGACCGGCCACAUUGGGACUGAGACACGGCCCAA
This 238-nucleotide ribosomal RNA is filed under the name uncultured bacterium. Its description in RNAcentral is "partial 16S ribosomal RNA". It matches the Rfam family "Bacterial small subunit ribosomal RNA", at positions 96 to 334 of the family's 1533-position model. The record is from RNAcentral.